AGUGAACGCUGGCGGUAGGCCUAACACAUGCAAGUCGAACGGCAGCACAGUAAGAGCUUGCUCUUACGGGUGGCGAGUGGCGGACGGGUGAGGAAUACAUCGGAAUCUACUUUUUCGUGGGGGAUAACGUAGGGAAACUUACGCUAAUACCGCAUACGACCUACGGGUGAAAGCAGGGGAUCUUCGGACCUUGCGCGAUUGAAUGAGCCGAUGUCGGAUUAGCUAGUUGGCGGGGUAAAGGCCCACCAAGGCGACGAUCCGUAGCUGGUCUGAGAGGAUGACCAGCCACACUGGAACUGAGACACGGUCCAGACUCCUACGGGAGGCAGCAGUGGGGAAUAUUGGACAAUGGGCGCAAGCCUGAUCCAGCCAUACCGCGUGGGUGAAGUAGGCCUUCGGGUUGUAAAGCCCUUUUGUUGGGAAAGAAAAGCAGCAGGUUAAUACCCCGCUGUUCUGACGGUACCCAAAGAAUAAGCACCGGCUAACUUCGUG
This 492-nucleotide ribosomal RNA is filed under the name uncultured bacterium. Its description in RNAcentral is "partial 16S ribosomal RNA". It matches the Rfam family "Bacterial small subunit ribosomal RNA", at positions 29 to 507 of the family's 1533-position model. The record is from RNAcentral.